CCUACGGGAGGCUGCAGUGAGGAAUAUUGGUCAAUGGGCGCGAGCCUGAACCAGCCAAGUCGCGUGAGUGAAGACGGUCCUAUGUAUUGUAAACCUCUUUUGUCGGGGAGCAAAAGACGCCACGCGUGGCGUUCCGAGAGUACCCGAAGAAAACGCAUCGGCUAACUCCGUGCCAGCAGCCGCGGUAAUCCGGAGGAUGCGAGCGUUAUCCGGAUUUAUUGGGUUUAAAGGGUGCGCAGGCGGAAGAUCAAGUCAGCGGUAAAAGUGCGUGGCUCAACCUCGUCUAGCCGUUGAAGCUGGGGGUCUGGAGUGAGGGAGAAGUAUGCGGAAUGCGUGGUGUAGCGGUGAAAUGCAUAGAUAUCACGCAGAACGCCGAUUGCGAAGGCAGCAUACCGGCGCUCAACUGACGCUCAGGCACGAAAGUGUGGGGAUCGAACAGGAUUAGAUACCCUUGUAGUC
This 459-nucleotide ribosomal RNA is filed under the name uncultured bacterium. Its description in RNAcentral is "partial 16S ribosomal RNA". It matches the Rfam family "Bacterial small subunit ribosomal RNA", at positions 338 to 795 of the family's 1533-position model. The record is from RNAcentral.